Molecule: non-coding RNA, 360 nt
Organism: Pelobates cultripes (western spadefoot toad)
Lineage: Eukaryota; Metazoa; Chordata; Amphibia; Anura; Pelobatidae
Source: the annotation of a GenBank genome assembly
CUGUCAUGAGGUGGGAUAUAUUAGGCAGCAAGUGAACAGUCCGUUCUUGAAUUUCAUGUGUUGGAAGCAGGAAAAAUGGGCAAGUGAAAAGAUCUGUGUGACGUUGACAAGGGAUAAAUAGUGAUCGCGAGACGACUGGGUCAGAACAUCUCCAAAACGGCAAGUAUGUGGGAUGUUCCCGGUAUGCAGUGGUUAGUACCUACCAAAAGUGGUGCAAGGAAGGACAACUAGUGAACCAGCGUCAGGAUCAUGGGCUACUGUAGCACAAACUGUUGACAAACAUAAUGCUGGCCAUGAUAGAAAGAUGUCAGAACACACGUACACUCCUUUAUGGCAAUGGUGUUCCCUGAUGGCAGUGCC